Molecule: ribosomal RNA, 491 nt
Filed under: uncultured bacterium
Lineage: Bacteria
Description: partial 16S ribosomal RNA
Rfam family: Bacterial small subunit ribosomal RNA
Source: RNAcentral
AGUGAACGCUGGCGGUAGGCCUAACACAUGCAAGUCGAACGGCAGCACAGUAAGAGCUUGCUCUUACGGGUGGCGAGUGGCGGACGGGUGAGGAAUACAUCGGAAUCUACUUUUUCGUGGGGGAUAACGUAGGGAAACUUACGCUAAUACCGCAUACGACCUACGGGUGAAAGCAGGGGAUCUUCGGACCUUGCGCGAUUGAAUGAGCCGAUGUCGGAUUAGCUAGUUGGCGGGGUAAAGGCCCACCAAGGCGACGAUCCGUAGCUGGUCUGAGAGGAUGAUCAGCCACACUGGAACUGAGACACGGUCCAGACUCCUACGGGAGGCAGCAGUGGGGAAUAUUGGACAAGGGGCGCAAGCCUGAUCCAGCCAGACCGCGGGGGUGAAGAAGGCCUUCGGGUUGUAAAGCCCUUUUGUUGGGAAAGAAAAGCAGCAGGUUAAUACCCCGCUGUUCUGACGGUACCCAAAGAAUAAGCACCGGCUAACUUCGU